UGCCGAACGACUGGCCAUGAAANUGGAUGGCGCUCAAGCCANCCCCCGAUACUCGACCGUUAGAGCAAUGAGGUGUCUUCAGAUCUUCUGCAUUGCCCUGCAUCAUUGGUUUGCGCCCUUGGUGUGGUAUAGCUAGCUUUGCAGAAUGUGGGAGCGAAUCUUAAUGUACUANAUGGUGCAUAUGUAGUAGCUUUCCGUGUAUUUGGACCCUAUUAAGCUUUAACGAGUAGGAGGGCGCAGCGGUGUGCGUGGAAGGUUUUGGCGUGAGCCUGACUGGAGCCGCCGUUGGUGAAGAUCUUGGUGGUAGUAGCAUCAGCUUCGGCUGAGGUAAAUUUUCUAGGACCUUACGGAAAGGGUUUCGCGUUAACCGCGAUGGGACGCGAGUAAAUCGAUCCUAAGCCAGGGGUUAACCUCCUUUUUAAGGGAUGGUCGAUUCGAAAAAGGAACUGUUGCUGUAGGCACUUGCACCCCAUUGUAACGAUGGCUGUGUGCUCGUGUCGGAUCUACUUUCUAUUUUCAAACGGACCAAUUUGCAACGCGAAAGGGGAUCCAUACAGGUU
Molecule: ribosomal RNA, 560 nt
Filed under: Paratanais sp.
Lineage: Eukaryota; Metazoa; Arthropoda; Malacostraca; Tanaidacea; Paratanaidae
Description: LSU rRNA
Rfam family: Eukaryotic large subunit ribosomal RNA
Source: RNAcentral